CUUCUGGAUUCAAGAUGGCCGCUAGACCGAAGAGUCCUCCCGCGCAGGCAAGACUUACUCGUUUAGAGUCAUGUUAUCUUCGAGUAUCUAGAGAGACAUUUUAACCCACACCCUAGAGAGGCGUUGUAAUCCCUGCGUAUCUUUUAACGCUACUUGGCCCUCACCUGCGAAACUACUGUUCUUUAAUAAUCCUCAUUUUCUGUGCCCCGGAAGUGCCUUCCUCUCUUCGCGUCUGUUUUCCGGAAGUGGUUCUUCUCCCUCUCCACCCUUGCGCCCGCUUGGGCGGUCCAGCUGCCCCUAGUGCCGACCCCAGGGGCUAUUUGGCGGCUGAACAUUCCGCAUUUUUUCAAGGCGUGCCUUUGGUUUUUUUAAGAAGUGCUAUCUAAAGGAGAGGCUGGACUAUGGCUCUGGGGAACUUUCAUAUCCUCAGUUGACCUUAGGCUGUGUGACCUUGAGCAGGUAGCAUAACCUGAGUUUCCCGCGUGACCUAUGUGCAGAUUGAGAUGAUAAAAUGAGAGAGCUAAACCGGAAAGCUCUUCCAACAUAGCCGGCCGUGAGCAGGUGGCUGUUUUGUCCUCUGGCACCACUGGCUCAGACUUAAGCAGCCUCGCUGACCGCCAAGAUUGCAUGCCAUGCCCACCAAGAUUUAAAGGACUCUGAUAAUUCUUUCUCUCCCCAAACAGUGUUUUCCGUAUCUAAUCUUAAUAAGCAAGCCUGGAGGAAUCUCUGACUUGUGAGUGAAGGCUCUCCAGGUGCCCUGGUUUAAGGGCAGAGAUUUAUUUUCUCUGAGGCUACAAAGGAGCAUCUGGGAGAUGCGAGAAUUCUUCUACCUUUGGCAAAACAGGGAGGAGGGUUGGAGCUCUCCAAGUUGCCUCUGGUUUGAGCUUUUUCUUUCUCUUUUGGUGUGUCGUCUCUGGCCAGCAACACCUGUGAGUCCUUGAUUUGGCGAUUAGGGAAGAUGUUUUUAGUUCACAUAACUAUUCUUUAGAGAAAAUUGAUCCUGAAAACACCUUAUUGCCUGAUCAUAGAAUGACUGCAUUACUCAGAAUUCUUUACCUCCACUGGAAUUUAGUGAAGGGAAUGCCCAACGUACAUUAGGAAAAUACAGGCACACUCCAGUCCUUAAACCUUCCACAAUCCUCUAACUCUUUAAGGUCGAGUGUGAUCCUCCCCAGAACUGCAUCUUCCAGGAAGUUCAUGAGAAAGAAAGGAUCCCAGGUCCCAUCCCUGAUCUCCUGAAUCGGCAUCUGCAUUUUAACAGAAUCCUGAAGCAGUGGUCUAACUCCUUUGGUUGUGGUAUGGUUUGAAUGUAUACCUCCAAAAUUCACAUAUUGAAAUACUAACCCCCAAGGUAUUAGGAGGUGGGGCCUUUGGGAGUUAAGUCAUGAGGGUGUAGCCCUCAUGAAUGGGAUUAGUACUCUUAGAAAAGGGACCCCAGAGAGGUCUCUUUCCACCAUGUAAGGAUAAAAGUACAAGGAGAAGAUGGUAGUCUGCAAACUGGAAAAGGGCCCUCCUCAGAACCUGACCAUCUUGGCACCUUGAUCUCAGACUUCCAUCUUCCAGAACUGUGGGAAAUAAAUUUCUUUUAUAAACACUCAGUCAAUGCUACUUUAUUAUAGCAGCCUGAAUGGAUUAAGACAGGUGGUCUGGUGUAAAGUGAUGUGUUGGCAUCAGAAGUUUAAGGAGAGACUGGAUUCACAGAACCAGAAUCUGGGAUGCUGUUUACAGAGCAAGUAUUUCCUGCAUUUGGACACUGUCGGCAGGUCGAUUCAGGAGACAGACGAAAACUUUAUCACCGGGCAGUCUGGAUGAACACCACAACUUUGAGAUCUUUCACUUAAAGGAAAGAUAAGGGCAUCCACUAUUUCUACACCUGGCUGGCAGAGUGAGAACUCACCAAGGCACUUACAAAUUCAUAAACUAUUACUACUGAAGACAAGUUAAGAGAUUGUGUCCUCCAAACUCAUCAUUUUUCAGCAUUAUUAUUUUAGAAGAGAGGUCUAGAUCAACCACUUUAAAAUGACACCAACAGAAGGGCAGUGAAGAAGGCAUUCUCGGAGGCUGCACAUUUCUGGAAGACAGCAUGACAAUAUGCCUCAAGUGCAAACAGUUUAUCCAUCUAUACAUAAUGAAACUAAAGAAGAUAAAGCUGUUUGUUCCUUGGGACAGUCUAAGAAUAAAUAAAAGACAGAAAAUUUUUCAAAA
Long non-coding RNA from Macaca mulatta (Rhesus monkey), 2205 nucleotides. RefSeq lists it as uncharacterized. NCBI's taxonomy places the organism in Eukaryota, Metazoa, Chordata, Mammalia, Primates, Cercopithecidae. The record is from RefSeq and is a predicted model, not a curated record.